CCUACGGGAGGCAGCAGUAGGGAAUCUUCCACAAUGGGCGAAAGCCUGAUGGAGCAACGCCGCGUGGGUGAAGAAGGUCUUCGGAUCGUAAAACCCUGUUGUUAGAGAAGAAAGUGCGUGAGAGUAACUGUUCACGUGUCGACGGUAUCUAACCAGAAAGCCACGGCUAACUACGUGCCAGCAGCCGCGGUAAUACGUAGGAGGCAAGCGUUAUCCGGAUUUAUUGGGCGUAAAGGGAACGCAGGCGGUCUUUUAAGUCUGAUGUGAAAGCCUUCGGCUUAACCGGAGUAGUGCAUUGGAAACUGGGAGACUUGAGUGCAGAAGAGGAGAGUGGAACUCCAUGUGUAGCGGUGAAAUGCGUAGAUAUAUGGAAGAACACCAGUGGCGAAAGCGGCUCUCUGGUCUGUGACUGACGCUGAGGUUCGAAAGCGUGGGUAGCAAACAGGAUUAGAUACCCGAGUAGUC
Molecule: ribosomal RNA, 465 nt
Filed under: uncultured bacterium
Lineage: Bacteria
Description: partial 16S ribosomal RNA
Rfam family: Bacterial small subunit ribosomal RNA
Source: RNAcentral